This is a transfer RNA of 86 nucleotides. It matches the Rfam family "tRNA". From Rfam's summary of the family: Transfer RNA (tRNA) molecules are approximately 80 nucleotides in length. Their secondary structure includes four short double-helical elements and three loops (D, anti-codon, and T loops).
GGGCACAUGGUGUAGUUGGUUAUCACGCUCGCUUAGCAUCAACAAAGGUCUGCGAGAGGUGUUGGGUUCAAUUCCCAAUGUGUCCA